GAGAGCCGAAACUACAGAAUGUAA
This 24-nucleotide non-coding RNA is filed under the name Arabidopsis thaliana (thale cress). The record is from RNAcentral. Lineage: Eukaryota; Viridiplantae; Streptophyta; Magnoliopsida; Brassicales; Brassicaceae.